GAUUAACGCUGGCGGCGUGCAUAACACAUGCAAGUCGAACGAUGAAACUUAACUGAUUUCUUCGGAAUGAUUUUAAGUGGAUUAGUGGCGGACGGGUGAGUAACGCGUGAGUAACCUGCCUUGGAGAAGGGGAUAGCCUUUGGAAACGAAGAAUAAUACCCUAUGAUAUGAUAAUAUCUCAUGAUAUUAUCAUCAAAGAUUUAUCGCUCUAAGAUGGACUUGCGUCUGAUUAGUUAGUUGGUGAGGUAACAGCUCACCAAGGCAGCGAUCAGUAGCCGGCUUGAGAGAGUGUACGGCCACAUUGGGACUGAGACACGGCCCAGACUCCUACGGGAGGCAGCAGUGGGGAAUUUUGCACAAUGGGGGAAACCCUGAUGCAGCGACGCCGCGUGAUUGAGAAGGCCUUCGGGUUGUAAAAAUCUUUUGUAUGGGAAGAAAAUGACAGUACCAUACGAAUAAGAACCGGCUAAUUACGUG
This 477-nucleotide ribosomal RNA is filed under the name uncultured bacterium. Its description in RNAcentral is "partial 16S ribosomal RNA". It matches the Rfam family "Bacterial small subunit ribosomal RNA", at positions 28 to 507 of the family's 1533-position model. The record is from RNAcentral.